AGAGAGAGACAUGCGCGCAUAUCAAUAAGCGGAGGAAAAGAAACUGAACAAGGAUUCCCUUAGUAACGGCGAGUGAAGCGGGAAGAGCUCAAAUUUGAAAUCUUCAAGGUUCUACCUUGACGAAUUGUAGUUUAUAGAAGUGUUUUCUGUUAGUGGAGUGGCAAAAGUUCUUUGGAAUAGGACAUCAUAGAGGGUGAGAAUCCCGUAUUUGGUCAUUCCUCCUAGCGUUGUGAUACACUUUCAACGAGUCGGAUUGUUUGGGAAUGCAGUCCAAAGAUGGGUGGUAAAUUUCAUCUAAAGCUAAAUAUUGGCGAGAGACCGAUAGCGAACAAGUACCGUGAGGGAAAGAUGAAAAGAACUUUGAAAAGAGAGUUAAACAGUACGUGAAAUUGUCAAAAGGGAAGCGUUUGACACCAGUGUUGUUUUUCCGAAAAUCAAUUACGAAUGUUUUAUUUUUGAGGAGUUAUGACUUCAUCGGCUUGCUCCUUUCUUUACGAAACUUUCUUAAUGCACUUUUCGGUUAACAAGUCAACAUCAAUUUCUUUUGUUGUAAAAGGGUAUGAGGAAGGUGGCUUUCUUUUCGGAGAAAGUGUUUAUAGCCUUGUAGCCUCUGCAAUCGGAGAGAUUGAGGUCUGCAGCGUAGAUCCUUCGGGGUUAGAUACAUUUGUGCUAAGUUAUAGCUUUUCAUAGACAACUUGUUGACUAUGUUAAGUCUUGUAGCUUACUCGCUUAUGCUAUUUUACCUACGCUUAGGAUGUUGAUAGUCACAGCGUGUAC
RNAcentral lists this ribosomal RNA (777 nucleotides) under uncultured Neocallimastigales. Its description in RNAcentral is "partial large subunit ribosomal RNA". It matches the Rfam family "Eukaryotic large subunit ribosomal RNA", at positions 23 to 644 of the family's 3401-position model. Lineage: Eukaryota; Fungi; Neocallimastigomycota; Neocallimastigomycetes; Neocallimastigales. The record is from RNAcentral.